Molecule: long non-coding RNA, 825 nt
Organism: Girardinichthys multiradiatus
Lineage: Eukaryota; Metazoa; Chordata; Actinopteri; Cyprinodontiformes; Goodeidae
Exons: 3
Source: RefSeq, a predicted model, not a curated record
AGCGACAGUGGAAAGGAAUACUCCCCUUUAACAGGAAAAAGACUUGAGUAGAACCCAACUCAGUGUGAGCGGUCAUCUGCAAUGAAUGACUGUGGGUUUGAGACAGAGCAUACACACAAAUCGAAAAAGACAGAAGCACUAAUCACAGACACUCUGUGAGCCAGUUUUCAAGUCUAUAGAAUGAAAGAGGGCACAUGUAGUUAGUCGCAGUAAAAGCUCAGUCAAAAGCUUUGUCUAGGAAAUAGGGUUAAACACUAAAAAACUGUCAGGAUCUGUGCCAUGUCUGUCUGUUUGGUGCUGUUACUGUUCUUAGCCUCUAGAUUGCGUUGGAACCGGAGGAGAGGUGACAGGUGUUCUCUAUCUUCUUGAUGAUCUGCUGAGGAGUAUUUAAGGAGGAGGCUGCCAGCAACUCACUGCCAGAGUGGUGCCCUUUGUGGUUACCUGAACCUGACUUUGCCUUCCGCAUCGAACCCUGCCUGGAUUACCGUCUUCUGGAAAGAAACUAUCCAGCUCCAUGAACCAUGACUCAAGCCUCCUGUUACCUCAUUGGAUCAAACCAGCUGGCAGUCUCCUGAUUCCUUCGUUCCGUGGAUGUCCUUCUGCGAACCCUGUCCACCAUCCUCCUUCCAUUGCACCAACUACAGAAACUCUUGGACCAUCUAUCAUCCUGGCACACCAGUAUUCACAGUCUCCAGUCCCACGGCAAAAACAAACUAACCAGCAGAUCGAACAACUAACCUCCUUGUUUCAGCACACCCUGAGCAACUUCACUGCCCCGGCCUUAGAGGGCGUUACGGCCUCUCCGGUCUCUUUGCAACUUCCGCA